CAAGAGAUUUAAGAAUUUAAGAUAGCUUUAUCAAUUGCAUCAGUCUUUGGGAAGAAGCCCACCCUGACAUCUGACUCAUUCAGCCAUUAAGUCAUCUCCAAGAGAUCUGCUGUUCCUAGAGAACCUGCAAAAAACAUGAUAUCCAAGAAUCACAAUUAAUAAGUUGCCUUGUAAGCAUUUCUUUCUAGGACAACAGAAACCCC
Molecule: long non-coding RNA, 203 nt
Organism: Alligator sinensis (Chinese alligator)
Lineage: Eukaryota; Metazoa; Chordata; Crocodylia; Alligatoridae
Exons: 3
Source: RefSeq, a predicted model, not a curated record